CAGCCGCCGCGGGAAUACCGAGGGUGCGAGCGUUAAUCGGAUUUACUGGGCGUAAAGCGUGCGUAGGCGGCUUCUUAAGUCGGAUGUGAAAUCCCUGAGCUUAACUUAGGAAUUGCAUUCGAUACUGGGAAGCUAGAGUAUGGGAGAGGAUGGUAGAAUUCCAGGUGUAGCGGUGAAAUGCGUAGAGAUCUGGAGGAAUACCGAUGGCGAAGGCAGCCAUCUGGCCUAAUACUGACGCUGAGGUACGAAAGCAUGGGGAGCAAACAGGAUUAGAUACCCCAGUAGUCCCUGUCUCUUAUAA
RNAcentral lists this ribosomal RNA (301 nucleotides) under uncultured bacterium. RNAcentral's name for it is "partial 16S ribosomal RNA". It matches the Rfam family "Bacterial small subunit ribosomal RNA", at positions 509 to 809 of the family's 1533-position model. The record is from RNAcentral.